Molecule: ribosomal RNA, 524 nt
Filed under: uncultured Dinophysis
Lineage: Eukaryota; Dinophyceae; Dinophysales; Dinophysaceae
Description: bacterial SSU rRNA
Rfam family: Bacterial small subunit ribosomal RNA
Source: RNAcentral
UAGGGAAUUUUCCGCAAUGGGCGAAAGCCUGACGGAGCAAUACCGCGUGAGGGAUGACGGCCUGUGGGUUGUAAACCUCUUUUCUCAAGGAAGAAGUUCUGACGGUACUUGAGGAAUAAGCAUCGGCUAACUCUGUGCCAGCAGCCGCGGUAAUACAGAGGAUGCAAGCGUUAUCUGGAAUCACUGGGCAUAAAGCGUCUGUAGGUGGUUUGGUAAGUMUGUUGUUAAAGACUGGGGCUCAACCCCAGAAAAGCAGUGGAAACUGCUAGACUUGAGUGUGGUAGAGGUAGAGGGAAUUCCUAGUGUAGCGGUGAAAUGCGUAGAUAUUAGGAAGAACACCAAUGGCGAAGGCACUCUACUGGGCCAUAACUGACACUGAGAGACGACAGCUAGGGGAGCAAAUGGGAUUAGAUACCCCAGUAGUCCUAGCCGUAAACGAUGGAUACUAGAUGUUGCACGUAUUAACCCGUGCAGUAUCGUAGCUAAGGCGUUAAGUAUCCCGCCUGGGAAGUACGCUCGCAAGA